GACGAACGCUGGCGGCGUGCUUAACACGUGCAAGUCGAACGGUGAAGCUCCAGCUUGCUGGAGUGGAUCAGUGGCGAACGGGUGAGUAACACGUGAGCAACCUGCCCCUGACUCUGGAAUAAGCGCUGGAAACGGCGUCUAAUACUGGAUACGAGAAGGGCCCGCAUGGGCACUUUCUGGAAAGUUUUUCGGUUGGGGAUGGGCUCGCGGCCUAUCAGCUUGUUGGUGAGGUAAUGGCUCACCAAGGCGACGACGGGUAGCCGGCCUGAGAGGGCGACCGGCCACACUGGGACUGAGACACGGCCCAGACUCCUACGGGAGGCAGCAGUGGGGAAUAUUGCACAAUGGGCGAAAGCCUGAUGCAGCGACGCCGCGUGAGGGAUGACGGCCUUCGGGUUGUAAACCUCUUUCAGCAGGGAAGAAGCGAAAGUGACGGUACCUGCAGAAGAAGCACCGGCUAACUACGUG
Molecule: ribosomal RNA, 468 nt
Filed under: uncultured bacterium
Lineage: Bacteria
Description: partial 16S ribosomal RNA
Rfam family: Bacterial small subunit ribosomal RNA
Source: RNAcentral